Molecule: unclassified non-coding RNA, 329 nt
Filed under: soil metagenome
Description: partial contains 5.8S ribosomal RNA, internal transcribed spacer 2, and large subunit ribosomal RNA
Rfam family: 5.8S ribosomal RNA (bases 1-120)
Source: RNAcentral
GAUGAAGAACGUAGCGAAAUGCGAUAAGUAAUGUGAAUUGCAGAAUUCAGUGAAUCAUCGAAUCUUUGAACGCACAUUGCGCCCCCUGGUAUUCCGGGGGGCAUGCCUGUCCGAGCGUCAUUACAACCCUCAAGCUCAGCUUGGUGUUGGGCCCCGCCGCCCCGGCGGGCCCUAAAGUCAGUGGCGGUGCCGUCCGGCUCCGAGCGUAGUAAUUCUUCUCGCUCUGGAGGUCCGGUCGUGUGCUCGCCAGCAACCCCCAAUUUUUUUCAGGUUGACCUCGGAUAAGGUAGGGAUACCCGCUGAACUUAAGCAUAUCAAUAAGCGGAGGA